CGCGGGAUGGAGCAGCAUGGUAGCUCGUCGGGCUCAUAACCCGAAGGUCGUAGGUUCGAAUCCAGCUCCCGCAACCA
This 77-nucleotide transfer RNA is filed under the name Neisseria gonorrhoeae. RNAcentral's name for it is "tRNA-Met". It matches the Rfam family "tRNA". Rfam says of the family: Transfer RNA (tRNA) molecules are approximately 80 nucleotides in length. Their secondary structure includes four short double-helical elements and three loops (D, anti-codon, and T loops). The record is from RNAcentral. Lineage: Bacteria; Pseudomonadati; Pseudomonadota; Betaproteobacteria; Neisseriales; Neisseriaceae.